Molecule: ribosomal RNA, 253 nt
Filed under: uncultured bacterium
Lineage: Bacteria
Description: partial 16S ribosomal RNA
Rfam family: Bacterial small subunit ribosomal RNA
Source: RNAcentral
UACGUAGGGGUCUAGCGUUGUCCGGAUUGACUGGGCGUAAAGCGCACGCAGGCGGCACCGCGCGUGGGGUGUGAAAUCUGGCCGCUUAACGGCCAGGCGCCAUCCCAUACGGCGGAGCUGGAGCGAUGCAGAGGUCGAUGGAAUUGCCGGUGUAGUGGUGAAAUGCGUAGAUAUCGAGAGGAACACCUGCGGCGAAGGCGGGUUGCUGGGCUGACACUGACGCUGAAGCGCGAAAGCUAGGGGAGCGAACGGG